AGCCUCCUGGUGCUUAGCGCAGGCUGUGUUUUUACACUGACUACAUAGAAAGAGUAGGAAAAGUAAACCUACCCCUAUACACCUCAGUCCAGGCCCUGUGCCUGGUCUGUAUUGUAAAUGGGGAGAUAUGG
This 131-nucleotide small nucleolar RNA is filed under the name Castor canadensis (American beaver). RNAcentral describes it as "Small nucleolar RNA SNORA51 (ENSCCNG00000025417.1)". It matches the Rfam family "Small nucleolar RNA SNORA51". From Rfam's summary of the family: ACA51 is a member of the H/ACA class of snoRNA that guide the sites of modification of uridines to pseudouridines. The record is from Rfam by way of RNAcentral. Lineage: Eukaryota; Metazoa; Chordata; Mammalia; Rodentia; Castoridae.